UUGACCCGUAACUUCGGGAGAAGGGUCGCCUACUUUUAGUAGGCCGCAGUGAAAAGGUCCAAGCGACUGUUUAUCAAAAACACAGGACUCUGCUAAGUCGAAAGACGAUGUAUAGGGUCUGACACCUGCCCGGUGCUGGAAGGUUAAGUGGAGAUGUUAGCAUUUAUUUGCAAAGCAUUGAAAUGAAGCCCCAGUAAACGGCGGCCGUAACUAUAACGGUCCUAAGGUAGCGAAAUUCCUUGUCGGGUAAGUUCCGACCUGCACGAAUGGUGUAACGAUUUGGACACUGUCUCAGCCAUGAGCUCGGUGAAAUUGUAGUAGCGGUGAAGAUGCCGCUUACCCGCCACGGGACGAAAAGACCCCGUGCACCUUUACUAUAGCUUCGUAUUGAUAUUUGAUAAGUAAUGUGUAGGAUAGGUGGGAGACUUUGAUUGAGCGUCGCCAGGCGUUUUUGAGUCGUUGUUGAAAUACCACCCUUUACUUCUCGGAUAUCUAACCCUUUUUGGGAACAGUGCGUGGUGGGUAGUUUGACUGGGGCGGUAAGGGC
Molecule: ribosomal RNA, 547 nt
Filed under: uncultured bacterium
Lineage: Bacteria
Description: bacterial LSU rRNA
Rfam family: Bacterial large subunit ribosomal RNA
Source: RNAcentral